GUGGGUAGUUUGACUGGGGCGGUCUCCUCCUAAAGAGUAACGGAGGAGCACGAAGGUUGGCUAAUCCUGGUCGGACAUCAGGAGGUUAGUGCAAUGGCAUAAGCCAGCUUGACUGCGAGCGUGACGGCGCGAGCAGGUGCGAAAGCAGGUCAUAGUGAUCCGGUGGUUCUGAAUGGAAGGGCCAUCGCUCAACGGAUAAAAGGUACUCCGGGGAUAACAGGCUGAUACCGCCCAAGAGUUCAUAUCGACGGCGGUGUUUGGCACCUCGAUGUCGGCUCAUCACAUCCUGGGGCUGAAGUAGGUCCCAAGGGUAUGGCUGUUCGCCAUUUAAAGUGGUACGCGAGCUGGGUUUAGAACGUCGUGAGACAGUUCGGUCCCUAUCUGCCGUGGGCGCUGGAGAACUGAGGGGGGCUGCUCCUAGUACGAGAGGACCGGAGUGGACGCAUCACUGGUGUUCGGGUUGUCAUGCCAAUGGCACUGCCCGGUAGCUAAAUGCGGAAGAGAUAAGUGCUGAAAGCAUCUAAGCACGAAACUUGCCCCGAGAUGAGUUCUCCCUGAGACUUAGAGUCUCCUGAAGGAACGUUGAAGACGACGACGUUGAUAGGCCGGGUGU
RNAcentral lists this ribosomal RNA (613 nucleotides) under Salmonella enterica. RNAcentral describes it as "partial 23S ribosomal RNA". It matches the Rfam family "Bacterial large subunit ribosomal RNA", at positions 2261 to 2868 of the family's 2925-position model. Lineage: Bacteria; Pseudomonadati; Pseudomonadota; Gammaproteobacteria; Enterobacterales; Enterobacteriaceae. RNAcentral also lists the same sequence under 4 other names. The record is from RNAcentral.